This 1653-nucleotide ribosomal RNA is filed under the name Salmonella enterica. RNAcentral's name for it is "partial 23S ribosomal RNA". It matches the Rfam family "Bacterial large subunit ribosomal RNA", at positions 532 to 2169 of the family's 2925-position model. Lineage: Bacteria; Pseudomonadati; Pseudomonadota; Gammaproteobacteria; Enterobacterales; Enterobacteriaceae. The record is from RNAcentral.
AGGGGAGUGAAAAAGAACCUGAAACCGUGUACGUACAAGCAGUGGGAGCACAGGUUUACCUGUGUGACUGCGUACCUUUUGUAUAAUGGGUCAGCGACUUAUAUUCUGUAGCAAGGUUAACCGUAUAGGGGAGCCGGAGGGAAACCGAGUCUUAACCGGGCGUUAAGUUGCAGGGUAUAGACCCGAAACCCGGUGAUCUAGCCAUGGGCAGGUUGAAGGUUGGGUAACACUAACUGGAGGACCGAACCGACUAAUGUUGAAAAAUUAGCGGAUGACCUGUGGCUGGGGGUGAAAGGCCAAUCAAACCGGGAGAUAGCUGGUUCUCCCCGAAAGCUAUUUAGGUAGCGCCUCGUGAAUUCAUCUCCGGGGGUAGAGCACUGUUUCGGCUAGGGGGCCAUCCCGGCUUACCAACCCGAUGCAAACUGCGAAUACCGGAGAAUGUUAUCACGGGAGACACACGGCGGGUGCUAACGUCCGUCGUGAAGAGGGAAACAACCCAGACCGCCAGCUAAGGUCCCAAAGUCAUGGUUAAGUGGGAAACGAUGUGGGAAGGCCCAGACAGCCAGGAUGUUGGCUUAGAAGCAGCCAUCAUUUAAAGAAAGCGUAAUAGCUCACUGGUCGAGUCGGCCUGCGCGGAAGAUGUAACGGGGCUAAACCAUGCACCGAAGCUGCGGCAGCGACACUGUGUGUUGUUGGGUAGGGGAGCGUUCUGUAAGCCUGUGAAGGUGUGUCGUGAGGCAUGCUGGAGGUAUCAGAAGUGCGAAUGCUGACAUAAGUAACGAUAAAGCGGGUGAAAAGCCCGCUCGCCGGAAGACCAAGGGUUCCUGUCCAACGUUAAUCGGGGCAGGGUGAGUCGACCCCUAAGGCGAGGCCGAAAGGCGUAGUCGAUGGGAAACGGGUUAAUAUUCCCGUACUUGGUGUUACUGCGAAGGGGGGACGGAGAAGGCUAUGUUGGCCGGGCGACGGUUGUCCCGGUUUAAGCGUGUAGGCUGGUUUUCCAGGCAAAUCCGGAAAAUCAAGGCUGAGGCGUGACGACGAGGCACUACGGUGCUGAAGCAACAAAUGCCCUGCUUCCAGGAAAAGCCUCUAAGCAUCAGGUAACACGAAAUCGUACCCCAAACCGACACAGGUGGUCAGGUAGAGAAUACCAAGGCGCUUGAGAGAACUCGGGUGAAGGAACUAGGCAAAAUGGUGCCGUAACUUCGGGAGAAGGCACGCUGACAUGUAGGUGAAGUGAUUUACUCAUGGAGCUGAAGUCAGUCGAAGAUACCAGCUGGCUGCAACUGUUUAUUAAAAACACAGCACUGUGCAAACACGAAAGUGGACGUAUACGGUGUGACGCCUGCCCGGUGCCGGAAGGUUAAUUGAUGGGGUCAGCGCAAGCGAAGCUCCUGAUCGAAGCCCCGGUAAACGGCGGCCGUAACUAUAACGGUCCUAAGGUAGCGAAAUUCCUUGUCGGGUAAGUUCCGACCUGCACGAAUGGCGUAAUGAUGGCCAGGCUGUCUCCACCCGAGACUCAGUGAAAUUGAACUCGCUGUGAAGAUGCAGUGUACCCGCGGCAAGACGGAAAGACCCCGUGAACCUUUACUAUAGCUUGACACUGAACAUUGAGCCUUGAUGUGUAGGAUAGGUGGGAGGCUUUGAAGUGUGGAC